GUGUUUCGAAGUUCACGACAAAAUGAUUUUUUGCCACAGAUGGUUGCGGUCGGAGUACCUACCGAUCCCUCAGCCGGGGUUUAUUGGCAUGACAUUUUCAAAUUACCCUGCUGUACAUGGUUUGCAGAGAGAUCUCCACUUUGGUUACGGGAACAGCGGAGUUCAUUGAAAAGAUAGAUCAUCUUUUCGACAUUUUGAACUCCAGCAUCCAAGCCUCGAAAAAUCUUUACCGACGACCUACAAAGGGACCCCACAGCAGGACGCAUUUCUACAUGAAAUGACACAGUUUUUCAAAAAAAUUCGUGCCUCUUCAGACACGAAAACAGGUCACAAUUAAAUCAACAAUGGACCUCUAGGGAGAAUUGAAAAAAGAAGGAUGCCAGAAUUUGAAGACAAGAAGAAUCAACCAGGACUGUUUGGAAAAUUUCUUCGGAAAAAUUCGUCAGCAAGGAGGCAAUUCAGUAAAUCCAACGUCAAUUCAGUUUUUUCGUUCAUUCAAGAAACUGUGUUGCGUGGAUUUAUGACACAUUCAACUGCACCGAGAGUGUGGACGUCUUGCUGAUGAACAACCUCCCAGAGAACAUCAAAAUUUCAACAGAAGAGGAAGAAAGAACAGUCCCACGUCAAACAGGAUCUCUCAAGGUCACAAACACAGAUUUUCGGGGAAACGAUCUUCCAAAGAAAAACGUCGUUUACUACAUCAGUGGGUACCUGGCCAGGAAGUGUUUGGGCAAAUACACAUAUACCCAACCUGCAAAGAGUACGCCAUAACGAUGG
Long non-coding RNA from Tribolium castaneum (red flour beetle), 777 nucleotides. RefSeq lists it as uncharacterized. The record is from RefSeq and is a predicted model, not a curated record. The transcript has 3 exons. Lineage: Eukaryota; Metazoa; Arthropoda; Insecta; Coleoptera; Tenebrionidae.